GUAGGGUGCAAGCGUUAUCCGGAAUCAUUGGGCGUAAAGAGCUCGUAGGCGGUUCAGCAAGUCGGCUGUGAAAUCCCGAGGCUUAACCUCGGAACUGCAGUCGAUACUGCUGUGACUAGAGUCCGGUAGAGGAGAAUGGAAUUCCCGGUGUAGCGGUGAAAUGCGCAGAUAUCGGGAGGAACACCAGUAGCGAAGGCGGUUCUCUGGGCCGGUACUGACGCUGAGGAGCGAAAGCGUGGGUAGCAAACAGGAUUAGAUACCCUGGUAGUCCACGCCGUAAACGUUGGACACUAGGUGUGGCGUUCCGACCAACGGGUGCCCGUGCCGAAGCUAACGCAUUAAGUGUCCCGCCUGGGGAGUACGGCCGCAAGGCUA
Molecule: ribosomal RNA, 375 nt
Filed under: uncultured organism
Description: partial 16S ribosomal RNA
Rfam family: Bacterial small subunit ribosomal RNA
Source: RNAcentral